UUUUAACCGGUGAAGGAUCGAGCAGUAACGCAGGAGGCUACCCUAAUCAGGUGUCGGGUGGACAAGGAGAAGUGCUCGGGUCGGACAGGCAGUAUAAUCAGACUUUCGGGUCGGCUGUGUAUUGCGGACCGGGUCGGCUGUUGUCUCACGUCUCUCAUACUGCCCAUAAUGCCUCUAUUAUGAAUUCUAGUUCUGCAUACAGGCAGUGAGUCUUUUCAUAGAGGAUUCCCGAGGGUUCAUGUUUUGCUUCGAGAAUUUAUUGUUUUUAAAUUGUGGGUCAAGCUUAAACCUGUUAUGGUACUCUAAAUUCUUUUGAUCAAGAGCUUGAGACUCCCGAUGAAAUUUGGAAGUCACACCGAGGAUUUGCAUUCGUGGAAUUCGUCACAAAACAAGAGGCGAGGCGCAGAACGCUGUCAAGGCCCUGUCCAACACUCGCCUUUACGGCCGUCAUCUGGUGAGCUCUUUCAUGAGGGACUCAUCCUCCCUCGCUUCUUUGGCAACGCGAAGGCCAGUGGGAAAGACGGAGUCUAAGCCCGGAUAUCAUACGCACCUAAACUAUCGGCAAGAAGCAACCCCAACCCCACACCCAGAAGGCAGAGAGGACAAUCAUCGAGAUCGGUAGGAUUACUCUCGAAGCGCUUCCAUUUUCUGAGGUUGCUGUAUCGAUCAACAAGGAGCUUGAUGUGAGCUUGAUGUCUCCCAAAGCUUGAUCCACGAGGCAUUUAUGCAUCGCAAGAGAUCCUUGUCUAAUUCCAACUAGAUGAAUACAAAAUGAAAUCUCCUUUCGUAGUC
Punica granatum (pomegranate) is the source of this 792-nucleotide non-coding RNA. NCBI's taxonomy places the organism in Eukaryota, Viridiplantae, Streptophyta, Magnoliopsida, Myrtales, Lythraceae. The record is from RefSeq and is a predicted model, not a curated record.